Molecule: long non-coding RNA, 306 nt
Filed under: Amborella trichopoda
Lineage: Eukaryota; Viridiplantae; Streptophyta; Magnoliopsida; Amborellales; Amborellaceae
Description: long non-coding RNA (ATRI_LNC003261)
Source: RNAcentral
UUACAUGCACCACCAACGGUUACAAGUUACAUGCACCACCAAUAGCAACAAGUUACAUGUACUGGCUAUUGUUACUAGCCUCUAUCUCACAUCAACGGUUAGAUGACCAUUGGAUGCCCCAAAGGCAUCAAAGGCUAGAUGACCGUCGGUUAUCCCACACGAGUUGGGCUCACUAAAAGGGAUCGAUCCUCAAGCCCGACUCGUACACAUUCGAGGGGCACCUUUCACGCGUGGGAAGUAAAAGUGUACCGUCAAGUACCCACGUCCUUGCACACGCAUGUGCGCAUUACACGUUUCGCAUGCAUU